UCGGGUAUGGUGCACGGUGCACGGCGGCUACUAUUGAACCAUUCCUCUAGCCAAUGACCAGCCAAUGACCGGGGUUCGACUCCCCGUGCCCGAA
Molecule: non-coding RNA, 94 nt
Organism: Mycena rosella
Lineage: Eukaryota; Fungi; Basidiomycota; Agaricomycetes; Agaricales; Mycenaceae
Source: the annotation of a GenBank genome assembly